UUAAGCGACUAAGCGUACACGGUGGAUGCCCUGGCAGUCAGAGGCGAUGAAGGACGUGCUAAUCUGCGAAAAGCGUCGGUAAGGUGAUAUGAACCGUUAUAACCGGCGAUGUCCGAAUGGGGAAACCCAGUGUGAUUCGUCACACUAUCGUUAACUGAAUACAUAGGUUAACGAGGCGAACCGGGGGAACUGAAACAUCUAAGUACCCCGAGGAAAAGAAAUCAACCGAGAUUCCCCCAGUAGCGGCGAGCGAACGGGGAGCAGCCCAGAGUCUGAAUCAGCUUGUGUGUUAGUGGAACGGUCUGGAAAGUCCGACGGUACAGGGUGAUAGUCCCGUACACCAAAAUGCACAGGCUGUGAACUCGAAGAGUAGGGCGGGACACGUGGUAUCCUGUCUGAAUAUGGGGGGACCAUCCUCCAAGGCUAAAUACUCCUGACUGACCGAUAGUGAACCAGUACCGUGAGGGAAAGGCGAAAAGAACCCCGGCGAGGGGAGUGAAAAAGAACCUGAAACCGUGUACGUACAAGCAGUGGGAGCACCUUCGGGUGUGACUGCGUACCUUUUGUAUAAUGGGUCAGCGACUUAUAUUCUGUAGCAAGGUUAACCGUAUAGGGGAGCCGCAGGGAAACCGAGUCUUAACUGGGCGUUAAGUUGCAGGGUAUAGACCCGAAACCCGGUGAUCUAGCCAUGGGCAGGUUGAAGGUUGGGUAACACUAACUGGAGGACCGAACCGACUAAUGUUGAAAAAUUAGCGGAUGACUUGUGGCUGGGGGUGAAAGGCCAAUCAAACCGGGAGAUAGCUGGUUCUCCCCGAAAGCUAUUUAGGUAGCGCCUCGUGAACUCAUCUUCGGGGGUAGAGCACUGUUUCGGCUAGGGGGUCAUCCCGACUUACCAACCCGAUGCAAACUACGAAUACCGAAGAAUGUUAUCACGGGAGACACACGGCGGGUGCUAACGUCCGUCGUGAAGAGGGAAACAACCCAGACCGCCAGCUAAGGUCCCAAAGUCAUGGUUAAGUGGGAAACGAUGUGGGAAGGCACAGACAGCCAGGAUGUUGGCUUAGAAGCAGCCAUCAUUUAAAGAAAGCGUAAUAGCUCACUGGUCGAGUCGGCCUGCGCGGAAGAUGUAACGGGGCUAAACCAUGCACCGAAGCUGCGGCAGCGACACUAUGUGUUGUUGGGUAGGGGAGCGUUCUGUAAGCCUGCGAAGGUGACCUGUGAGGGUUGCUGGAGGUAUCAGAAGUGCGAAUGCUGACAUAAGUAACGAUAAAGCGGGUGAAAAGCCCGCUCGCCGGAAGACCAAGGGUUCCUGUCCAACGUUAAUCGGGGCAGGGUGAGUCGACCCCUAAGGCGAGGCCGAAAGGCGUAGUCGAUGGGAAACAGGUUAAUAUUCCUGUACUUGGUGUUACUGCGAAGGGGGGACGGAGAAGGCUAUGUUAGCCGGGCGACGGUUGUCCCGGUUUAAGCAUGUAGGCUGGUUGUCCAGGCAAAUCCGGAUAAUCAAGGCUGAGGUGUGAUGACGAGGCACUACGGUGCUGAAGUAACAAAUGCCCUGCUUCCAGGAAAAGCCUCUAAGCAUCAGGUAACAUUAAAUCGUACCCCAAACCGACACAGGUGGUCAGGUAGAGAAUACCAAGGCGCUUGAGAGAACUCGGGUGAAGGAACUAGGCAAAAUGGUGCCGUAACUUCGGGAGAAGGCACGCUGGUGUGUAGGUGAAGUCCCUGCGGAUGGAGCUGAGACCAGUCGAAGAUACCAGCUGGCUGCAACUGUUUAUUAAAAACACAGCACUGUGCAAACACGAAAGUGGACGUAUACGGUGUGACGCCUGCCCGGUGCCGGAAGGUUAAUUGAUGGGGUUAUCCGUAAGGAGAAGCUCUUGAUCGAAGCCCCGGUAAACGGCGGCCGUAACUAUAACGGUCCUAAGGUAGCGAAAUUCCUUGUCGGGUAAGUUCCGACCUGCACGAAUGGCGUAAUGAUGGCCAGGCUGUCUCCACCCGAGACUCAGUGAAAUUGAACUCGCUGUGAAGAUGCAGUGUACCCGCGGCAAGACGGAAAGACCCCGUGAACCUUUACUAUAGCUUGACACUGAACAUUGAGCCUUGAUGUGUAGGAUAGGUGGGAGGCUUUGAAGCGUGGACGCCAGUCUGCGUGGAGCCAACCUUGAAAUACCACCCUUUAAUGUUUGAUGUUCUAACGUUGGCCCCUUACCGGGGUUGCGGACAGUGUCUGGUGGGUAGUUUGACUGGGGCGGUCUCCUCCCAAAGCGUAACGGAGGAGCACGAAGGUUAGCUAAUCCUGGUCGGACAUCAGGAGGUUAGUGCAAUGGCAUAAGCUAGCUUGACUGCGAGCGUGACGGCGCGAGCAGGUGCGAAAGCAGGUCAUAGUGAUCCGGUGGUUCUGAAUGGAAGGGCCAUCGCUCAACGGAUAAAAGGUACUCCGGGGAUAACAGGCUGAUACCGCCCAAGAGUUCAUAUCGACGGCGGUGUUUGGCACCUCGAUGUCGGCUCAUCACAUCCUGGGGCUGAAGUAGGUCCCAAGGGUAUGGCUGUUCGCCAUUUAAAGUGGUACGCGAGCUGGGUUUAGAACGUCGUGAGACAGUUCGGUCCCUAUCUGCCGUGGGCGCUGGAGAAUUGAGGGGGGCUGCUCCUAGUACGAGAGGACCGGAGUGGACGCAUCACUGGUGUUCGGGUUGUCAUGCCAAUGGCACUGCCCGGUAGCUAAAUGCGGAAGAGAUAAGUGCUGAAAGCAUCUAAGCACGAAACUUGCCCCGAGAUGAGUUCUCCCUGAGACUUUAAGUCUCCUGAAGGAACGUUGAAGACGACGACGUUGAUAGGCCGGGUGUGUAAGCGCAGCGAUGCGUUGAGCUAACCGGUACUAAUGAACCGUGAGGCUUAACCUU
Molecule: ribosomal RNA, 2900 nt
Filed under: Klebsiella pneumoniae
Lineage: Bacteria; Pseudomonadati; Pseudomonadota; Gammaproteobacteria; Enterobacterales; Enterobacteriaceae
Description: 23S ribosomal RNA
Rfam family: Bacterial large subunit ribosomal RNA
Source: RNAcentral